UACAGAGGUCUCAAGCGUUGUUCGGAUUCAUUGGGCGUAAAGGGUGCGUAGGUGGCGCGGUAAGUCGGGUGUGAAAUCUCGGAGCUUAACUCCGAAAUUGCAUUCGAUACUGCCGUGCUUGAGGACUGGAGAGGAGACUGGAAUUCAUGGUGUAGCAGUGAAAUGCGCAGAGAUCAUGAGGAAGACCAGUGGCGAAGGCGGGUCUCUGGACAGUUCCUGACACUGAGGCACGAAGGCCAGGGGAGCAAACGGG
RNAcentral lists this ribosomal RNA (253 nucleotides) under uncultured bacterium. RNAcentral describes it as "partial 16S ribosomal RNA". It matches the Rfam family "Bacterial small subunit ribosomal RNA", at positions 524 to 776 of the family's 1533-position model. The record is from RNAcentral.